Molecule: ribosomal RNA, 236 nt
Filed under: uncultured bacterium
Lineage: Bacteria
Description: partial 16S ribosomal RNA
Rfam family: Bacterial small subunit ribosomal RNA
Source: RNAcentral
CGGCGAACGGGUGAGUAACACGUGGGCAACCUGCCCCUAGCUCUGGGACAACUCCUCGAAAGAGGGGCUAAUACCGGAUAUGACCUGGGAGUGCAUUCUUCUGGGUGGAAAGUUUUUCGGCUAGGGAUGGGCCCGCGGCCUAUCAGCUUGUUGGUGAGGUAAUGGCCCACCAAGGCGACGACGGGUAGCCGGCCUGAGAGGGCGAUCGGCCACACUGGGACUGAGACACGGCCCAG